This 73-nucleotide transfer RNA is filed under the name Candidatus Korarchaeum cryptofilum OPF8. RNAcentral's name for it is "tRNA-Ala (GGC) (tRNA-Ala-GGC-1-1)". It matches the Rfam family "tRNA". Rfam says of the family: Transfer RNA (tRNA) molecules are approximately 80 nucleotides in length. Their secondary structure includes four short double-helical elements and three loops (D, anti-codon, and T loops). Lineage: Archaea; Thermoproteati; Thermoproteota; Candidatus Korarchaeia; Candidatus Korarchaeales; Candidatus Korarchaeaceae. The record is from Rfam by way of RNAcentral. RNAcentral also lists the same sequence under 4 other names.
GGGCCGGUGGCGCAGUUGGUAGCGCGCCCGCUUGGCAUGCGGGAGGUCGGGGGUUCGAAUCCCCCCCGGUCCA